Molecule: non-coding RNA, 553 nt
Organism: Pelobates cultripes (western spadefoot toad)
Lineage: Eukaryota; Metazoa; Chordata; Amphibia; Anura; Pelobatidae
Source: the annotation of a GenBank genome assembly
GGACCAGUCAGCUGCUUUAACAAUAUUAAACAAGGAACGUACAUCUUAGAAGACUUUAGUGGACUUAUACCCUCUAGAGGAGUGUGACCCGAAUUUGAGAAGUAUCAGCCAUGACCACAGUGUGUUUGAUUUCUCUACCUAAGGUGGAGAAUGAAAAUAACAAAUAAUAUCAAUUGUCAGUUUGUGAAGUGAAAAUGUAGCCCAUAGAGAUAAUUAACACUGACCCUAACCAUACAGUUAACCAUAACCCUACUCUAACAUUAACUUUAACACUACUCUACAGUGGCGUACACACAAUCCAUGGGGCCCUGGUGCAAAACCGAUCCGUGGGCCCCCCCGACACAUACAUACAGACACACAUAUACACUACACACAUACAGAGACACACAUACACCCCCGACAGACAUACACAUACAGAUACAUACACACACAUAUACAUACAGAGACACACACAUACAAAAUGUUUCCUGUUUCCUACCUUUUGCAGGAGGGUGACUUUCCACUGGGUCCAGUGGGGUCUCAGUCUGAUGGGAGUCAGAGUUCCCACUUUGAC